Long non-coding RNA from Dermacentor silvarum, 703 nucleotides. RefSeq lists it as uncharacterized. NCBI's taxonomy places the organism in Eukaryota, Metazoa, Arthropoda, Arachnida, Ixodida, Ixodidae. The transcript has 3 exons. The record is from RefSeq and is a predicted model, not a curated record.
AGCGCUGCCUGAGAUCGUGUCGGCGAUAGGCGGUCGCCUGGAGAUCUACCUGGACAGCGGAGUCCGCAGCGGCGCUGAUGUGGUCAAGGCACUCAGUCUCGGAGCCCGGGCGGUGUUCGUGGGCAGACCGGCCAUCUGGGGCCUCACUUACAAUGGCAAACAAGGCGUGGACAGAGUUCUUGAAAUACUAAGGACUGAGCUUGAGCACACAAUCAAGUUGUUGGGUUGCAAGAACUCAAGCAGCCUCAACUCGGAGUUCGUGGUUCACAAGAACCACUACGCCAGGACCACGUGGAGAAACUUUCCGCGCCAAGACCUGUGAACGGAAAUCACGAAGACGGGCCGGGCCGCAAAGGGAUCUCCGGCGAGGCCCAGUCAUCGCCAACUAAAGAGUUGUGAGACACAUAUGCACGCACAAAACAACAGUUCAAAGAAACGAAUCACAUUCAUCUGAAUCAGGAGCGGAGUGUCCUUGAAGAGAUAGCAGAGAAGUGGAAAGGCAGAAAUGGACGAAUAGAAUAAUGGGUUCAGAGGUAGGUUAACUCCGUUCGGGUCCCAGAUUUUAGCAACAUCUUCACAUGGUAUAGUUGUCGUCUCAGAAGGUAAUAGGGUGUAACAAAAAGCCAUUUUAUAUAUUUGUUCCACUUGAUUUCAGUAAAAAUCAAUACAGAUUUUAUCUCGGUGUUAUUGUGCUUUCUUUACU